Molecule: ribosomal RNA, 253 nt
Filed under: uncultured bacterium
Lineage: Bacteria
Description: partial 16S ribosomal RNA
Rfam family: Bacterial small subunit ribosomal RNA
Source: RNAcentral
UACGUAGGGGGCAAGCGUUGUCCGGAAUCAUUGGGCGUAAAGCGCGCGUAGGUGGCUUCGUAAGUCCGUUGUGAAAGUCAAAGGCUCAACCUUUGAAAGCCGAUGGAUACUGCGGAGCUAGAGUACGGAAGAGGCGAGUGGAAUUCCUGGUGUAGCGGUGGAAUGCGCAGAUAUCAGGAGGAACACCAAUAGCGAAGGCAGCUCGCUGGGACGUUACUGACACUGAGGCGCGAAAGCGUGGGGAGCGAACAGG